RNAcentral lists this ribosomal RNA (253 nucleotides) under uncultured bacterium. RNAcentral's name for it is "partial 16S ribosomal RNA". It matches the Rfam family "Bacterial small subunit ribosomal RNA", at positions 524 to 776 of the family's 1533-position model. The record is from RNAcentral.
UACGUAGGGGGCGAGCGUUGUCCGGAGUUACUGGGCGUAAAGCGCACGCAGGCGGUGCUGCGCGUUUGGGGUUACAGCUCCCGGCUCAACCGGGAGAGCGCCUCGAAGACGGCAGCACUUGAGGGCCAGAGAGGGACACGGAACUCCGGGUGGAGUGGUGAAAUGCGUAGAUAUCCGGAAGAACACCAAAGGCGAAGGCAGUGUCCUGGCUGGUACCUGACGCUCAGGUGCGAAAGCUAGGGGAGCAAACGGG